RNAcentral lists this ribosomal RNA (480 nucleotides) under uncultured bacterium. Its description in RNAcentral is "partial 16S ribosomal RNA". It matches the Rfam family "Bacterial small subunit ribosomal RNA", at positions 28 to 507 of the family's 1533-position model. The record is from RNAcentral.
GAUGAACGCUAGCGGCAGGCCUAACACAUGCGAGUCGAGGGAAAGGAUACGUACGGUUCUCCUAAACCGUCGCACGGGGGCGUAACGCGUAUACAAUCUGCCUUUCCCAUAGGGAUAGCCCUAACAAAGGUGGACUAAUACCUAAUGGUAUAUAUAAUCGGCAUCGUUUUUAUAUUAAAGCUACGGCAGUGUAAGUUGAGUAUGCGUUCUAUUAGCUAGUUGGUGAGGUAACGGCUAAGCAAGGCGACGAUAGAUAGGGGUUAUGAUAGGGAUGUACCCCAGACUGGUACCGAGAUACGGACCAGAAUCCUACGGGAGGGAGCAGUGAGGAAUAUUGGACAAUGGUGGGAAGACUGACCCAGCCAUGCCGGGUGCAGGAGGAAGGGCCUAGGGAUAGUAAACUGCUUUUGAAAGGGAAGAAUAAGAGUUACGGGGAGUUUGAUGACGGUACCUUACGAAUAAGCAUCGGCUAACUCCGUG